AGCGAACGCUGGCGGCAGGCUUAACACAUGCAAGUCGAGCGGGCAUCCUUGUGGUGUCAGCGGCAGACGGGUGAGUAACGCGUGGGAACGUGCCCUUCGGUUCGGAAUAACUCAGGGAAACUUGAGCUAAUGCCGGAUACGUGCGAGAGCAGAAAGGUUUAUCUGCCGAAGGAUCGGCCCGCGUCUGAUUAGUUAGUUGGUGAGGUUAUGGCUCACCAAGGCGACGAUCAGUAGCUGGUCUGAGAGGAUGAUCAGCCACACUGGGACUGAGACACGGCCCAGACUCCUACGGGAAGCAGCAGUGGGGAAUAUUGGACAAUGGGGGCAACCCUGAUCCAGCCAUGCCGCGUGAGUGAUGACGGCCUUAGGGUUGUAAAGCUCUUUUCUUCGGGACGAUAAUGACGGUACCGGAGGAAUAAGCCCCGGCUAACUUCGUG
Molecule: ribosomal RNA, 437 nt
Filed under: uncultured bacterium
Lineage: Bacteria
Description: partial 16S ribosomal RNA
Rfam family: Bacterial small subunit ribosomal RNA
Source: RNAcentral